UACGUAGGGGGCAAGCGUUGUCCGGAUUUAUUGGGCGUAAAGAGCGUGUAGGCGGCCUGACAGGUCUGCUGUGAAAACUCGAGGCUCAACCUCGAGAUGUCGGCGGAAACCGUAUGGCUAGAGUCCGGAAGAGGAGAGUGGAAUUCCCGGUGUAGCGGUGAAAUGCGCAGAUAUCGGGAAGAACACCCGUGGCGAAGGCGGCUCUCUGGGACGGUACUGACGCUGAGACGCGAAAGCGUGGGGAGCGAACAGG
This 253-nucleotide ribosomal RNA is filed under the name uncultured bacterium. RNAcentral's name for it is "partial 16S ribosomal RNA". It matches the Rfam family "Bacterial small subunit ribosomal RNA", at positions 524 to 776 of the family's 1533-position model. The record is from RNAcentral.